UACACAUGCAGUCGAGCGGGGAAAGUAGCUUGCUACUUGACCUAGCGGCGGACGGGUGAGUAAUGCUUAGGAAUCUGCCUAUUAGUGGGGGACAACAUCUCGAAAGGGAUGCUAAUACCGCAUACGUCCUACGGGAGAAAGCAGGGGACCUUCGGGCCUUGCGCUAAUAGAUGAGCCUAAGUCGGAUUAGCUAGUUGGUGGGGUAAAGGCCUACCAAGGCGACGAUCUGUAGCGGGUCUGAGAGGAUGAUCCGCCACACUGGGACUGAGACACGGCCCAGACUCCUACGGGAGGCAGCAGUGGGGAAUAUUGGACAAUGGGGGGAACCCUGAUCCAGCCAUGCCGCGUGUGUGAAGAAGGCCUUUUGGUUGUAAAGCACUUUAAGCGAGGAGGAGGCUACCGAGAUUAAUACUCUUGGAUAGUGGACGUUACUCGCAGAAUAAGCACCGGCUAACUCUGUGCCAGCAGCCGCGGUAAUACAGAGGGUGCAAGCGUUAAUCGGAUUUACUGGGCGUAAAGCGCGCGUAGGUGGCCAAUUAAGUCAAAUGUGAAAUCCCCGAGCUUAACUUGGGAAUUGCAUUCGAUACUGGUUGGCUAGAGUAUGGGAGAGGAUGGUAGAAUUCCAGGUGUAGCGGUGAAAUGCGUAGAGAUCUGGAGGAAUACCGAUGGCGAAGGCAGCCAUCUGGCCUAAUACUGACACUGAGGUGC
This 708-nucleotide ribosomal RNA is filed under the name Acinetobacter sp. BE4. RNAcentral describes it as "bacterial SSU rRNA". It matches the Rfam family "Bacterial small subunit ribosomal RNA", at positions 50 to 754 of the family's 1533-position model. Lineage: Bacteria; Pseudomonadati; Pseudomonadota; Gammaproteobacteria; Moraxellales; Moraxellaceae. The record is from RNAcentral.